This 253-nucleotide ribosomal RNA is filed under the name uncultured bacterium. RNAcentral describes it as "partial 16S ribosomal RNA". It matches the Rfam family "Bacterial small subunit ribosomal RNA", at positions 524 to 776 of the family's 1533-position model. The record is from RNAcentral.
UACGUAGGGCGCGAGCGUUGUCCGGAAUUAUUGGGCGUAAAGAGCUCGUAGGUGGCUUGUUGCGUCUGCCGUGAAAGCCCGUGGCUUAACUACGGGUCUGCGGUGGAUACGGGCAGGCUAGAGGCUGGUAGGGGCAAGCGGAAUUCCUGGUGUAGCGGUGAAAUGCGCAGAUAUCGGGAGGAACACCGGUGGCGAAGGCGGCUUGCUGGGCCAGUUCUGACGCUGAGGAGCGAAAGCGUGGGGAGCGAACAGG